RNAcentral lists this ribosomal RNA (425 nucleotides) under uncultured bacterium. RNAcentral describes it as "partial 16S ribosomal RNA". It matches the Rfam family "Bacterial small subunit ribosomal RNA", at positions 354 to 796 of the family's 1533-position model. The record is from RNAcentral.
GUUAGGAAUAUUGGACAAUGGGCGCAAGCCUGAUCCAGCCAUGCCGCGUGAGUGAUGAAGGCCUUCGGGUUGUAAAGCUCUUUAGUCCACGAAUAUAAUGACUGUAGUGGAAGAAUAAGCCCCGGCUAACUUCGUGCCAGCAGCCGCGGUAAUACGAAGGGGGCGAGCGUUAUUCGGAAUCACUGGGCGUAAAGCGUGCGUAGGCUGUUUUGUAAGUCAGAAGUGAAAGCCCAGGGCUUAACCCUGGAAUUGCUUUUGAAACUACAAGACUCGAAUUCGGGAGAGGAUAGCGGAAUUGUCAGUGUAGCAGUGAAAGGCGUAGAUAUUGACAGGAACACCAGUGGCGCAAGCGGCUAUCUGGACCGAUAUUGACGCUGAGGCACGAAAGCGUGGGGAGCAAACAGGAUUAGAAACCCCGGUAGUCC